UGAACCACCUUCGGGUGGGGAUUAGUGGCGAACGGGUGAGUAACACGUGGGCAAUCUGCCCUGCACUCUGGGACAAGCCCUGGAAACGGGGUCUAAUACCGGAUACUGACCCGCCUGGGCAUCCAGGCGGUUCGAAAGCUCCGGCGGUGCAGGAUGAGCCCGCGGCCUAUCAGCUUGUUGGUGAGGUAACGGCUCACCAAGGCGACGACGGGUAGCCGGCCUGAGAGGGCGACCGGCCACACUGGGACUGAGACACGGCCCAGACUCCUACGGGAGGCAGCAGUGGGGAAUAUUGCACAAUGGGCGCAAGCCUGAUGCAGCGACGCCGCGUGAGGGAUGACGGCCUUCGGGUUGUAAACCUCUUUCAGCAGGGAAGAAGCGCAAGUGACGGUACCUGCAGAAGAAGCGCCGGCUAACUACGUGCCAGCAGCCGCGGUAAUACGUAGGGCGCGAGCGUUGUCCGGAAUUAUUGGGCGUAAAGAGCUCGUAGGCGGCUUGUCGCGUCGGUUGUGAAAGCCCGGGGCUUAACCCCGGGUCUGCAGUCGAUACGGGCAGGCUAGAGUUCGGUAGGGGAGAUCGGAAUUCCUGGUGUAGCGGUGAAAUGCGCAGAUAUCAGGAGGAACACCGGUGGCGAAGGCGGAUCUCUGGGCCGAUACUGACGCUGAGGAGCGAAAGCGUGGGGAGCGAACAGGAUUAGAUACCCUGGUAGUCCACGCCGUAAACGGUGGGCACUAGGUGUGGGCGACAUUCCACGUC
This 756-nucleotide ribosomal RNA is filed under the name Streptomyces sp. RNAcentral's name for it is "bacterial SSU rRNA". It matches the Rfam family "Bacterial small subunit ribosomal RNA", at positions 70 to 838 of the family's 1533-position model. The record is from RNAcentral. Lineage: Bacteria; Bacillati; Actinomycetota; Actinomycetes; Kitasatosporales; Streptomycetaceae.